GGAGCUCCCCCGGGGUCACAGUGACCUUGAUGCGAACGCGCGGGCUCGGAGGAACCCCCACUUUCCCGCGCGCCCCAGGGGCGUGCGGGGACGGGGAGCGCGGCGCCGGCGUGCCCACACGCGUGUGGCAAAAUAAGACCAGGCCGGGUCCGCACCAGCUUUUUCGUAUCAUUCGCGAUUCCCCGCCCCGCCCCGGUGCCGGAACCCGAGGUGCCGCUGUGCGCUCUCCCCGCCCGCUCAUCCCGAGCCCCGACGUGGCGGGCAGCGCCCCCAGACCACAGCGAGGCGGCUUCCUGGAGGGCGGAGGGGCGGGGUUCUACCCCAGCUGGGCACUUCCUUGCUGCGGACCUUGCUCUGGGCCGGCCUCUCUCCGGACCUGUGUCCUGCUCCAAGCGCACCUUGCCCAGUCUCCUCGAAACUGCAGUCCCUGCUGGGACCCGCGUGCUUCUGACUGCUGUUGGAUAGAGGUCGGCCCCCGUCUUGGAGCUGUGAAGCGCUCAGGUCCUGUGCAGGAUGCCUGA
This 521-nucleotide long non-coding RNA is filed under the name Chinchilla lanigera (long-tailed chinchilla). RNAcentral's name for it is "lncRNA (ENSCLAG00000025653.1)". The record is from RNAcentral. Lineage: Eukaryota; Metazoa; Chordata; Mammalia; Rodentia; Chinchillidae.